CUUUAAAAGCUAUGAACAAUUUCUUCAGUGUAGGAAGCUUAGGCAGGGGAGGCUCAAAUGUUUCAGUCGAAAGGAUUCAAGUAUCUUAUGUGAACUUUUUUAACACAACCAAUGGUGCUAGGAUCAAAACUUGGCAGGGAGCCACAGGUUAUGCAAAAUCAAUGUCAUUCGAGAAAAUCAAAUUCAACAAUGUACAAAAUCCUAUCAUAAUUGAUCAAAACUAUGGUGCUAAAGCCAACAAUUAUACCAUUCAGCAAAAUGCAGUGCAGAUUAGCAAUGUGAGAUAUGCCUACUGUGCUGGAACUGCAAAGACAGAUAUUGCUAUCAACUUAAACUGCAGCCAGACUGUCCCUUGCACUGACAUCCAAUUCGACAAUGUUAACAUACCAGUGACAU
Long non-coding RNA from Musa acuminata AAA Group (dessert banana), 396 nucleotides. RefSeq lists it as uncharacterized. Lineage: Eukaryota; Viridiplantae; Streptophyta; Magnoliopsida; Zingiberales; Musaceae. The record is from RefSeq and is a predicted model, not a curated record. The transcript has 3 exons.